This 60-nucleotide transfer RNA is filed under the name Flavonifractor plautii. It matches the Rfam family "tRNA", at positions 10 to 67 of the family's 71-position model. Rfam says of the family: Transfer RNA (tRNA) molecules are approximately 80 nucleotides in length. Lineage: Bacteria; Bacillati; Bacillota; Clostridia; Eubacteriales; Oscillospiraceae. The record is from RNAcentral.
GUUCAACGGUUAGCAUAUCGGUCUUCCAAACCGAGGGUGCGGGUUCAAAUCCCGCUAUCU